GAUGAACGCUAGCUACAGGCUUAACACAUGCAAGUCGAGGGGCAGCAUGAAAGUUUGCUUGCAAACUUUUGAUGGCGACCGGCGCACGGGUGAGUAACACGUAUCCAACCUGCCUCAUACUCGGGGAUAGCCUUUCGAAAGAAAGAUUAAUACCCGAUGUUAUAGUCCUACCGCAUGAUGGGAUUAUUAAAGAAUUUCGGUCAUCGAUGGGGAUGCGUUCCAUUAGCUUGUUGGCGGGGUAACGGCCCACCAAGGCAUCGAUGGAUAGGGGUUCUGAGAGGAAGGUCCCCCACAUUGGAACUGAGACACGGUCCAA
This 316-nucleotide ribosomal RNA is filed under the name uncultured bacterium. RNAcentral's name for it is "bacterial SSU rRNA". It matches the Rfam family "Bacterial small subunit ribosomal RNA", at positions 28 to 334 of the family's 1533-position model. The record is from RNAcentral.